RNAcentral lists this ribosomal RNA (1917 nucleotides) under Cyanobacteria bacterium MAG IRC1_bin_28. Its description in RNAcentral is "partial 23S ribosomal RNA". It matches the Rfam family "Bacterial large subunit ribosomal RNA", at positions 1 to 1965 of the family's 2925-position model. The record is from RNAcentral. Lineage: Bacteria; Bacillati; Cyanobacteriota.
UGUCAAGCUACAAAGGGCUCACGGUGAAUACCUUGGCACGCAGAGGCGAUGAAGGACGUGACUACCUGCGAUAAGUCUCGGGGAGCGGGAAGUAAGCUUUGAUCCGGGAAUUUCCGAAUGGGGCAACCCUGGGGCAACCCAACGGCUAGCUGAAUCCAUAGGCUAGUUCGAGCCAACCCAGCGAACUGAAACAUCUUAGUAGCUGGAGGAAAAGAAAGUAAAAACGACUCCCUCAGUAGCGGCGAGCGAAGCGGGAUCAGCCUAAACCAAUCAUUUCGAUGGUUGGGGUUGUGGGACAGCAAUGUGGACCAGGAAUUCUAGAAGAAGCGUUUGAAUGACGCACCAUAGAGGGUGAUAGUCCCGUACUCAAAAGAUAAACUGGCCUAGCUGUAUCCCGAGUAGCACGGAGCACGUGAAAUUCCGUGUGAAUCUGCGAGGACCACCUCGUAAGGCUAAGUACUACUGCGUGACCGAUAGCGUACAGUACCGCGAGGGAAAGGUGAAAAGAACCCCAGGAGGGGAGUGAAACAGAACAUGAAACCGUGAGCCUACAAGCAAUGGGAGCCCGACUAAUCGGGUGACCGUGUGCCUGUUGAAGAAUGAGCCGGCGACUUAUAGGCACUGGCAGGUUAAGAGGACAAUCUCGGAGCCACAGCGAAAGCAAGUCUGAAUAGGGCGAUCGUCAGUGUUUAUAGACCCGAACCCGGGUGAUCUAACCAUGGACAGGAUGAAGCUUGGGUGACACCAAGUGAAGGUCCGAACCGACUGAUGUUGAAAAAUCAGCGGAUGAGCUGUGGUUAGGGGUGAAAUGCCAAUCGAACCCGGAGCUAGCUGGUUCUCCCCGAAAUACAUUGAGGUGUAGCGUCUAGUGCUUAAGCAGGGGGGUAAAGCCACCGUUUCGGUGCGGGCUGCGAGAGCGGUACCAAAUCGAGACGAACUCUGAAUACCCUGUGUGUAACUAGGCAGUCAGACCGUGGGGGAUAAGCUUCAUGGUCAAGAGGGAAACAGCCCAGACCGCCAGCUAAGGUCCUUGAGUCACUACUAAGUGGUAAAGGAGGUAAGAUUGCAUAGACAACCAGGAGGUUUGCCUGGAAGCAGCCAUCCUCAAAGGAGUGCGUAAUAGCUCACUGGUCGAGCGAUCUUGCGCCGAAAAUGAACGGGACUAAGUAGUGUACCGAAGCUGCGGAUUCUUUGAAUGGUAGGGGAGCGUUCUAUGUGGGUUGAAGCGUUAGCGAAAGCGGGCGUGGACUGCAUAGAAGUGAGAAUGUCGGCUUGAGUAGCGAAAACGUAGGUGAGAAUCCUAUGCCCCGAAACCCUAAGGGUUCCUCUGUUAAGCUCGUCUGCAGAGGGUUAGUCAGGACCUAAGGCGAGGCCGAAAGGCGUAGUCGAUGGACAACAGGUCAACAUUCCUGUACUGGUUGCUGUUUGGGCAGGUGGACGGAGAAGGCUAAGCGAUCCGGAUGUUGGUUACCGGUUCAAGCGCUCAAGGCUUUGAAGAGCGGUGAAAACGCUCUGAGCUAAGGCGUGAGUACGAGUUCUUACGAGAGCGAAGUCGCUGAUGUCAUGCUUCCUAGAAAAGACCUUAGUCCGUUAAGCAGUAACUACCUGUACCCGAAACCGACACAGGUGGGGUGGUAGAGUAUACUAAGGGGCGCGAGUUAACUCUCUCUAAGGAACUCGGCAAAAUGGCCCCGUAACUUCGGGAGAAGGGGUGCCACCGUCAGGUGGCCGCAGUGAAGAGUCCCAGGCGACUGUUUACCAAAAACACAGGUCUCCGCUAAGUCGCAAGACGACGUAUGGGGGCUGACGCCUGCCCAGUGCCGGAAGGUUAAGGAAGCCGGUCAGCGUAAGCGAAGCUGGCGACUGAAGCCCCGGUGAACGGCGGCCGUAACUAUAACGGUCCUAAGGUAGCGAAAU